AUACGUAGGUGGCAAGCGUUAUCCGGAAUUAUUGGGCGUAAAGAGGGAGCAGGCGGCAGCAAGGGUCUGUGGUGAAAGCCUGAAGCUUAACUUCAGUAAGCCAUAGAAACCAGGCAGCUAGAGUGCAGGAGAGGAUCGUGGAAUUCCAUGUGUAGCGGUGAAAUGCGUAGAUAUAUGGAGGAACACCAGUGGCGAAGGCGACGAUGUGGCCUGCAACUGACGCUCAGUCCCGAAAGCGUGGGGAGCAAAUAGGAUUAGAUACCCUAGUAGUCCACGCCGUAAACGAUGAGUACUAAGUGUUGGAUGUCAAAGUUCAGUGCUGCAGUUAACGCAAUAAGUACUCCGCCUGAGUAGUACGUUCGCAAGAAUGAAACUCAAAUGAAUUGACGGG
This 391-nucleotide ribosomal RNA is filed under the name uncultured bacterium. RNAcentral's name for it is "partial 16S ribosomal RNA". It matches the Rfam family "Bacterial small subunit ribosomal RNA", at positions 523 to 917 of the family's 1533-position model. The record is from RNAcentral.